This 999-nucleotide ribosomal RNA is filed under the name Klebsiella pneumoniae. Its description in RNAcentral is "bacterial SSU rRNA". It matches the Rfam family "Bacterial small subunit ribosomal RNA", at positions 8 to 998 of the family's 1533-position model. Lineage: Bacteria; Pseudomonadati; Pseudomonadota; Gammaproteobacteria; Enterobacterales; Enterobacteriaceae. RNAcentral also lists the same sequence under 18 other names. The record is from RNAcentral.
AGAGUUUGAUCAUGGCUCAGAUUGAACGCUGGCGGCAGGCCUAACACAUGCAAGUCGAGCGGUAGCACAGAGAGCUUGCUCUCGGGUGACGAGCGGCGGACGGGUGAGUAAUGUCUGGGAAACUGCCUGAUGGAGGGGGAUAACUACUGGAAACGGUAGCUAAUACCGCAUAAUGUCGCAAGACCAAAGUGGGGGACCUUCGGGCCUCAUGCCAUCAGAUGUGCCCAGAUGGGAUUAGCUAGUAGGUGGGGUAACGGCUCACCUAGGCGACGAUCCCUAGCUGGUCUGAGAGGAUGACCAGCCACACUGGAACUGAGACACGGUCCAGACUCCUACGGGAGGCAGCAGUGGGGAAUAUUGCACAAUGGGCGCAAGCCUGAUGCAGCCAUGCCGCGUGUGUGAAGAAGGCCUUCGGGUUGUAAAGCACUUUCAGCGGGGAGGAAGGCGUUAAGGUUAAUAACCUUGGCGAUUGACGUUACCCGCAGAAGAAGCACCGGCUAACUCCGUGCCAGCAGCCGCGGUAAUACGGAGGGUGCAAGCGUUAAUCGGAAUUACUGGGCGUAAAGCGCACGCAGGCGGUCUGUCAAGUCGGAUGUGAAAUCCCCGGGCUCAACCUGGGAACUGCAUUCGAAACUGGCAGGCUAGAGUCUUGUAGAGGGGGGUAGAAUUCCAGGUGUAGCGGUGAAAUGCGUAGAGAUCUGGAGGAAUACCGGUGGCGAAGGCGGCCCCCUGGACAAAGACUGACGCUCAGGUGCGAAAGCGUGGGGAGCAAACAGGAUUAGAUACCCUGGUAGUCCACGCCGUAAACGAUGUCGAUUUGGAGGUUGUGCCCUUGAGGCGUGGCUUCCGGAGCUAACGCGUUAAAUCGACCGCCUGGGGAGUACGGCCGCAAGGUUAAAACUCAAAUGAAUUGACGGGGGCCCGCACAAGCGGUGGAGCAUGUGGUUUAAUUCGAUGCAACGCGAAGAACCUUACCUGGUCUUGACAUCCACAGAACUU